This 274-nucleotide ribosomal RNA is filed under the name uncultured bacterium. RNAcentral's name for it is "partial 16S ribosomal RNA". It matches the Rfam family "Bacterial small subunit ribosomal RNA", at positions 523 to 796 of the family's 1533-position model. The record is from RNAcentral.
AUACAGAGGGUGCGAGCGUUAAUCGGAAUUACUGGGCGUAAAGCGCGCGUAGGCGGUUAUUUAAGUCAGAUGUGAAAUCCCUGGGCUCAACCUAGGAACUGCAUCUGAAACUGGGUAACUAGAGUUUAGGAGAGGGGAGUAGAAUUUCGGGUGUAGCGGUGAAAUGCAUAGAGAUCCGAAGGAAUACCAGUGGCGAAGGCGACUCCCUGGCCUAGAACUGACGCUGAGGUGCGAAAGCGAGGGUAGCAAACGGGAUUAGAAACCCUUGUAGUCC